This 284-nucleotide long non-coding RNA is filed under the name Manihot esculenta (cassava). Its description in RNAcentral is "long non-coding RNA (MESC_LNC004326)". The record is from RNAcentral. Lineage: Eukaryota; Viridiplantae; Streptophyta; Magnoliopsida; Malpighiales; Euphorbiaceae.
UCAUUGAUGUGCUUUCUAGGAAAAAGUUGGUGUAUAUUGAAAUUGGUGCAGCAGAACGUCUGAACUCUAGUGUUGCUAAUUGGUUCAUUCCAUCUUAUCCUGUGGAUCACAAGGCUUUAGAUAUUUAUUUUGUUGACCACAACACUUCAGUUCUGCUUUCAUGUGUUAAAAAACCUGGCGUUACCUUCAUUUACUAUCCUGGCCUUGCUGGAGACAAGAUUACUGCGUCAAUUUCUGAUGUUGAAGAUCUAGAUCCUUCCGUGGAAGAUGAGGGAUUUGAUUUC